GGACCCGCACAAGCGGUGGAGCAUGUGGUUUAAUUCGAAGCAACGCGAAGAACCUUACCAGGUCUUGACAUCCGCUGCAUAGCCUAGAGAUAGGUGAAGUCCUUCGGGACAGCGAGACAGGUGGUGCAUGGUUGUCGUCAGCUCGUGUCGUGAGAUGUUGGGUUAAGUCCCGUAACGAGCGCAACCCUUAUUACUAGUUGCCAGCAUUCAGUUGGGGACUCUAGUGAGACUGCCGGUGACAAACCGGAGGAAGGUGGGGAUGACGUCAAAUCAUCAUGCCCCUUAUGACCUGGGCUACACACGUGCUACAAUGGAUGGUACAACGAGCAGCUAAGCCGCGAGGCCACGCGAAUCUCUGAAAGCCAUUCCCAGUUCGGAUUGUUCUCUGCAACUCGAGAGCAUGAAGCCGGAAUCGCUAGUAAUCGUGGAUCAGCACGCCACGGUGAAUACGUUCCCGGGUCUU
Molecule: ribosomal RNA, 463 nt
Filed under: uncultured bacterium
Lineage: Bacteria
Description: bacterial SSU rRNA
Rfam family: Bacterial small subunit ribosomal RNA
Source: RNAcentral